GAUCAAGCUACAAAGGGCGCAUGGUGGAUGCCUUGGCACCAGGAGCCGAUGAAGGACGUGGUAAGCUGCGAAAAGCUGCGGGUAGCCGCAAACAGGCUGUGAUCCGCAGAUGUCCGAAUGGGGGAACCCGCAUGGCUAACGCCAUGCAUCCUUAGCUGAAUCCAUAGGCUAAGGAGGGCACACCCGGGGAACUGAAACAUCUAAGUACCCGGAGGAAAAGAAAGAAUAAUCGAUUCCCUAAGUAGCGGCGAGCGAAAGGGGAGGAGCCCAAACCAGAGGAAACUCUGGGGUUGCGGACAGGUCAAGAAAGCGAAGGAGUUCUUAGCCGAAUAGGUCUGGAAAGGCCAGCCGCAGAAGGUAAAAGCCCUGUAGGCGAAAAGGACUUUGAGCGAGACCUGAUCCAGAGUACCACGGGACACGAGGAACCCUGUGGGAAGCAGGGAGGACCACCUCCCAAGGCUAAAUACUACCUGGUGACCGAUAGCGCAUAGUACCGUGAGGGAAAGGUGAAAAGAACCCCGGGAGGGGAGUGAAAUAGAACCUGAAACCGUGUGCCUACAAGCAGUCGGAGGGCGUUAAGGCCUGACGGCGUGCUUUUUGUAGAACGAGCCAGCGAGUUACGGUAUGUAGCGAGGUUAAGCACUUAAGGUGCGAAGCCGUAGGGAAACCGAGUCUGAAGAGGGCGUUAAGUUGCAUGCCGUAGACCCGAAACCGGGUGACCUAUCCAUGGACAGGGUGAAGGUGAGGUAAAACUCACUGGAGGCCCGAACCACGUUGGUGUUGAAAAACCAUGGGAUGAGCUGUGGAUAGCGGAGAAAUUCCAAUCGAACUCGGAGAUAGCUGGUUCUCCCCGAAAUAGCUUUAGGGCUAGCCUCGGGUUAGAGACAUGGAGGUAGAGCACUGAAUGGGCUAGGGGCCGUCUAGGUUACCGAACCUUAUCAAACUCCGAAUGCCAUAGUCUUGAUGCCCGGGAGUCAGACUUAGAGUGAUAAGAUCCUAAGUCAAAAGGGAAACAGCCCAGACCAUCAGCUAAGGUCCCAAAGUGCAUGUUAAGUGGUAAAGGAUGUGGGACUUCUAAGACAACCAGGAUGUUGGCUUAGAAGCAGCCAUUCAUUUAAAGAGUGCGUAAUAGCUCACUGGUCGAGAGGUCCUGCGCCGAAGAUGUCCGGGGCUCAAACAUGCCACCGAAGCUAUGGAUUUGGUACCGUUGCUAAUGCUUAUAUGGUAGAGAGGACAGAAAAGAGAGGACAUCUUUAUGCUGCUACGCAGCGAAGCGAAGAAGCAGCAUUAGAUACAACAAGCUAAAACAUGCCAUGUAGGCGAUAGCAACGGUACCAAAUGGUAGGGGAGCUUUCUUAGCGGGUUGAAGUCAGACCGUGAGGACUGGUGGACUGCUAAGAAGUGAGAAUGCUGGCAUAAGUAGCGAGAAAUAGGUGAGAAUCCUAUUCGCCGAAAACCUAAGGUUUCCUCAGGAAGGCUCGUCCGCUGAGGGUUAGUCGGGACCUAAGCCGAGGCCGAAAGGCGUAGGUGAUGGACAAUCGGUUGAUAUUCCGAUACCACCAGCAGCCGUUUGAGAGAUGGGGGGACGCAGGAGGAUAGGCUGAGCACACUGCUGGAUAUGUGUGUCCAAAGCACAAGGUAUGCCUCUUAGGCAAAUCCGGGAGGAUAAGCUGAGUGCUGAUGGGGAGCCGUAAGGCGAAGCAGCCGAUUUCACACUGCCGAGAAAAGCCUCUAUCGAGGAUGCUGGUGCCCGUACCGCAAACCGACACAGGUAGGUGAGGAGAGAAUCCUAAGGCGAGCGGGAGAACCCUUGUUAAGGAACUCGGCAAAUUGACCCCGUAACUUCGGGAGAAGGGGUGCCUACCGAAAGGUAGGUCGCAGAGAAUAGGCCCAGGCGACUGUUUAGCAAAAACACAGGUCUCUGCUAAGUCGAAAGACGAUGUAUAGGGGCUGACGCCUGCCCGGUGCUGGAAGGUUAAGGGGAAAGGUUAGCGCAAGCGAAGCUUUGAACCGAAGCCCCAGUAAACGGCGGCCGUAACUAUAACGGUCCUAAGGUAGCGAAAUUCCUUGUCGGGUAAGUUCCGACCCGCACGAAUGGCGUAACGACCUGGGCGCUGUCUCGACAAGGGACCCGGCGAAAUUGUAGUACAAGUGAAGAUGCUUGUUACCCGCGAUUGGACGGAAAGACCCCGUAGAGCUUUACUGCAGCUUAGCAUUGAGUUUCGGUAUUGUCUGUACAGGAUAGGUGGGAGGCUGAGAAGUAGCGUCGCCAGGCGCUAUGGAGCCGCCGUUGGGAUACCACCCUGAUGAUACUGAAGCUCUAACCGGAGGCCAUGAAGCUGGUCACGGGACAUUGUUAGGCGGGCAGUUUGACUGGGGCGGUCGCCUCCUAAAGAGUAACGGAGGCGCCCAAAGGUUCCCUC
Molecule: ribosomal RNA, 2423 nt
Organism: Thermobrachium celere DSM 8682
Lineage: Bacteria; Bacillati; Bacillota; Clostridia; Eubacteriales; Clostridiaceae
Rfam family: Bacterial large subunit ribosomal RNA
Source: Rfam